This 301-nucleotide unclassified non-coding RNA is filed under the name Basidiomycota sp. Its description in RNAcentral is "partial contains small subunit ribosomal RNA, internal transcribed spacer 1, and 5.8S ribosomal RNA". The stretch from base 1 to 47 matches the Rfam family "Eukaryotic small subunit ribosomal RNA", at positions 1785 to 1831 of the family's 1831-position model. Lineage: Eukaryota; Fungi; Basidiomycota. The record is from RNAcentral.
AAAGUCGUAACAAGGUUUCCGUAGGUGAACCUGCGGAAGGAUCAUUAAUGAAUAAAACCCAUACGGGCUUUUUCAAACUCGUAUCCACCCUAUGUGAACUGUAUAUUUUGUGAUUGGGCUUGGUAGGUUUUUUCCUUCUGGCUGAAAUCGUUUCUGGGCUUAAGCUUUAAGCCUGAGAUGACGAAGGCUGGAAUCGAUAAAGCCCGCCGCUUCCAAGAACAAGCCUGUAUUUAUAAAUUGUCGGCUGAAUUGUAAAGAUUUAUAAUCAAUACAACUUUCAACAACGGAUCUCUUGGCUCCU